GCUGCUGUAGCUCAGUUGGUAGAGCGCGUCCUUGGUAAGGACGAGGUUCAUGGGUUCGAAUCCCAUCAGCAGCU
This 74-nucleotide transfer RNA is filed under the name Planctomycetota bacterium. RNAcentral's name for it is "tRNA-Thr". It matches the Rfam family "tRNA". Rfam says of the family: Transfer RNA (tRNA) molecules are approximately 80 nucleotides in length. The record is from RNAcentral. Lineage: Bacteria; Pseudomonadati; Planctomycetota.